This 321-nucleotide long non-coding RNA is filed under the name Elaeis guineensis (African oil palm). Its description in RNAcentral is "long non-coding RNA (EGUI_LNC051264)". The record is from RNAcentral. Lineage: Eukaryota; Viridiplantae; Streptophyta; Magnoliopsida; Arecales; Arecaceae.
UUCCUUUUAUGGAGGGCUUCGUGGAGUUCCGCCCAAGUCUGGUCUGCCCUAGGAGUUCGUUUCGCAUCCAGACUCAUCAGAGAAGAACACUCCUGAUGGGAGACUUCCUCCAGCCUUUUUUUUUUGUCCCCUAUAGGGAGCUGGUGCAGUGGACCGGGCCAUCACAUAGGCCAGGCCCAACGUGGCUUGCCCUAUGUUCUUGUUGACCUAUGCAUGGUUAUAUUCCUUAGCCCAAUUUAAGCUAAUGUAUGGAUGGGUCUUGGUGUCUAUGGAAGAGGACGACAUUUGAGUCUAAAGAUGCUAGGAUGGAUGAAAGAACUG